This 80-nucleotide transfer RNA is filed under the name Delftia tsuruhatensis. Its description in RNAcentral is "tRNA-Ala(ggc)". The record is from RNAcentral. Lineage: Bacteria; Pseudomonadati; Pseudomonadota; Betaproteobacteria; Burkholderiales; Comamonadaceae.
GGCCUGGCUUCCGUGCAGGACGCGGCCGCGCAGCUGGCGGCUCCGCUGCUGCUGGAGGGGUUGGAAACCCCUGCGGGCCG